CGUAAUAGCUCACUGGUCGAGUCGGCCUGCGCGGAAGAUGUAACGGGGCUAAACCAUGCACCGAAGCUGCGGCAGCGACACUGUGUGUUGUUGGGUAGGGGAGCGUUCUGUAAGCCUGUGAAGGUGUGCUGUGAGGCAUGCUGGAGGUAUCAGAAGUGCGAAUGCUGACAUAAGUAACGAUAAAGCGGGUGAAAAGCCCGCUCGCCGGAAGACCAAGGGUUCCUGUCCAACGUUAAUCGGGGCAGG
Molecule: ribosomal RNA, 246 nt
Filed under: Escherichia coli
Lineage: Bacteria; Pseudomonadati; Pseudomonadota; Gammaproteobacteria; Enterobacterales; Enterobacteriaceae
Description: partial 23S ribosomal RNA
Rfam family: Bacterial large subunit ribosomal RNA
Source: RNAcentral